CCUUUGUUCUUGGCCGCCCUCUAAUU
RNAcentral lists this small RNA (26 nucleotides) under Arabidopsis thaliana (thale cress). Its description in RNAcentral is "ATSL135110". Lineage: Eukaryota; Viridiplantae; Streptophyta; Magnoliopsida; Brassicales; Brassicaceae. The record is from RNAcentral.